GAGGGAGUACUUGUUUACGAAGAACAAUUUUCUUCUGUAAUUACAAUGCACGCACAUCUUAGAUCAGGUUCAACUGAAUCUCAGUUCUAUAAAUUAUUUAGAAUUGUGAAUUGGUGGCACCUUAUUCUUCUUUUUCUUUUCUCUGGAUGGGUUCCAUCUAUUCAUUUGGACCAUGCACUAUCUCCCAUAAUUAUGCCUUCAAUCAAUAAGCAUGUGCAUGCACAACCCUUUUGUCCCACUAAUAGUUGCAGUAGCCCAUGAGCCGUACCUGAUCACCUUGAACCUAGUAUGAAAAAGGAAAACAUGUGAAGAAUUU
This 316-nucleotide long non-coding RNA is filed under the name Triticum aestivum (bread wheat). Its description in RNAcentral is "long non-coding RNA (TAES_LNC000007)". Lineage: Eukaryota; Viridiplantae; Streptophyta; Magnoliopsida; Poales; Poaceae. The record is from RNAcentral.